UACAGAGGUGGCAAGCGUUGUUCGGAAUUACUGGGCGUAAAGGGCGCGUAGGCGGUUUGCCAAGUCCCGUGUGAAAGCCCUCGGCUCAACCGAGGAACGGCGCGGGAAACUAGCAGGCUCGAGUUCGGGAGAGGGAAGCGGAAUUCCGGGUGUAGCGGUGAAAUGCGCAGAUAUCCGGAGGAACACCGGUGGCGAAGGCGGCUUCCUGGACCGACACUGACGCUGAGGCGCGAAAGCUAGGGGAGCAAACGGG
Molecule: ribosomal RNA, 253 nt
Filed under: uncultured bacterium
Lineage: Bacteria
Description: partial 16S ribosomal RNA
Rfam family: Bacterial small subunit ribosomal RNA
Source: RNAcentral